RNAcentral lists this ribosomal RNA (490 nucleotides) under uncultured bacterium. Its description in RNAcentral is "partial 16S ribosomal RNA". It matches the Rfam family "Bacterial small subunit ribosomal RNA", at positions 30 to 507 of the family's 1533-position model. The record is from RNAcentral.
AUUGAACGCUGGCGGCAUGCUUUACACAUGCAAGUCGGACGGCAGCACAGAGAAGCUUGCUUCUUGGGUGGCGAGUGGCGAACGGGUGAGUAAUAUAUCGGAACGUACCGAGUAAUGGGGGAUAACUAAUCGAAAGAUUAGCUAAUACCGCAUAUUCUCUGAGGCGGAAAGCAGGGGACCUUCGGGCCUUGCGUUAUUCGAGCGGCCGAUAUCUGAUUAGCUAGUUGGUGGGGUAAAGGCCUACCAAGGCGACGAUCAGUAGCGGGUCUGAGAGGAUGAUCCGCCACACUGGGACUGAGACACGGCCCAGACUCCUACGGGAGGCAGCAGUGGGGAAUUUUGGACAAUGGGCGCAAGCCUGAUCCAGCCAUGCCGCGUGUCUGAAGAAGGCCUUCGGGUUGUAAAGGACUUUUGUCAGGGAAGAAAAGGCUGUUGCUAAUACCGACAGCUGAUGACGGUACCUGAAGAAUAAGCACCGGCUAACUACGUG